GGAAUUGUGGCUCAGUGUAGAGUGCUUGCCUAGUAUACAGGAGGCACUGGGUUCAAUCCCCGGCACCA
RNAcentral lists this transfer RNA (68 nucleotides) under Ictidomys tridecemlineatus (thirteen-lined ground squirrel). RNAcentral's name for it is "Spermophilus tridecemlineatus (thirteen-lined ground squirrel) tRNA". It matches the Rfam family "tRNA". Rfam says of the family: Transfer RNA (tRNA) molecules are approximately 80 nucleotides in length. Their secondary structure includes four short double-helical elements and three loops (D, anti-codon, and T loops). The record is from Rfam by way of RNAcentral. Lineage: Eukaryota; Metazoa; Chordata; Mammalia; Rodentia; Sciuridae.